Molecule: ribosomal RNA, 445 nt
Filed under: uncultured bacterium
Lineage: Bacteria
Description: partial 16S ribosomal RNA
Rfam family: Bacterial small subunit ribosomal RNA
Source: RNAcentral
GUGAGGAAUAUUGGUCAAUGGGCGAGAGCCUGAACCAGCCAAGUCGCGUGAAGGAAGAAGGAUCUAUGGUUCGUAAACUUCUUUUGCAGGGGAAUAAAGUGCGGGACGUGUCCUGUUUUGUAUGUACCCUGAGAAUAAGGAUCGGCUAACUCCGUGCCAGCAGCCGCGGUAAUACGGAGGAUCCGAGCGUUAUCCGGAUUUAUUGGGUUUAAAGGGUGCGUAGGUGGUUUGAUAAGUCAGCGGUGAAAGUUUGCAGCUUAACUGUAAAAAUGCCGUUGAAACUGUCGUGCUUGAGUGUAAAUGAGGUAGGCGGAAUGCGUGGUGUAGCGGUGAAAUGCAUAGAUAUCACGCAGAACUCCGAUUGCGAAGGCAGCUUACUAAGCUACAACUGACACUGAAGCACGAAAGCGUGGGGAUCAAACAGGAUUAGAAACCCGUGUAGUCC